UGGUGGAGUGAUUUGUCUGGUUAAUUCCGUUAACGAACGAGACCCUGCCUGCUAAAUAGUCUGAUGAGUGAUCUACACUGAUUAUGGCUUCUUAGAGGGACGUGCAUUCGACUAGUUGCAGGAAGAUAGGGGCAAUAACA
This 140-nucleotide ribosomal RNA is filed under the name uncultured eukaryote. RNAcentral describes it as "partial 18S ribosomal RNA". It matches the Rfam family "Eukaryotic small subunit ribosomal RNA", at positions 1299 to 1458 of the family's 1831-position model. The record is from RNAcentral.